UACGAAGGGGGCUAGCGUUGCUCGGAAUCACUGGGCGUAAAGGGCGCGUAGGCGGCCAUUCAAGUCAGAGGUGAAAGCCCAAGGCUCAACCUUGGAACUGCCUUUGAUACUGUUUGGCUUGAGACCGGUAGAGGUAAGUGGAACUGCGAGUGUAGAGGUGAAAUUCGUAGAUAUCGGGAGGAACACCAGUGGCGAAGGCGGCGAUCUGGGAAGAUACUGACGCUGAGGUGCGAAAGCGUGGGGAGCAAACAGG
This 253-nucleotide ribosomal RNA is filed under the name uncultured bacterium. RNAcentral describes it as "partial 16S ribosomal RNA". It matches the Rfam family "Bacterial small subunit ribosomal RNA", at positions 524 to 776 of the family's 1533-position model. The record is from RNAcentral.